AGUAAAGUUUUCUCUAUUGUGCAGGCUUCUAGAAUUGAAUCAUAAAGGAAUCUGAAGGCAUAGGAAUUUGAGGAAACAUAGAACUGAUUCAAAAGCUAAGCAGGGUAGCAAUAGAUUCCAGAAGACCUCGACUCAACCAACCAAUUUUAUGGCAACCCCUACAAAGCCAACUAAGUCAAUGGCAAUGCUUGGUGUGACCCCAAACCAACCAACUAGGUCAAUGAAAAUAUUUGGCGUGACCCUUACCCAACCAACUGAGUCUAUGGUAGCGCCUAGUGUGACCCAUAUCGAACCAAUUGACCAAUCUAUGGAAAUUCCUUGCGUGACCCAUAUUCAACCAAUUGAGCCUAUGGAAAUGCCUGGUUUGAUCCCAAUCCAACCAACUAGUUCUAUGACCAUGCCUGGUGUCACCCCUACCCAACAAACUUUGACUAUCGAAAUGCCUAGUGAGACACCUCCUUCUCUUGAGUUUAUGAAGCAGAGGUUGGAGAUGAUGGCAUCAA
Molecule: long non-coding RNA, 503 nt
Organism: Glycine soja
Lineage: Eukaryota; Viridiplantae; Streptophyta; Magnoliopsida; Fabales; Fabaceae
Exons: 2
Source: RefSeq, a predicted model, not a curated record